Molecule: ribosomal RNA, 501 nt
Filed under: uncultured bacterium
Lineage: Bacteria
Description: partial 16S ribosomal RNA
Rfam family: Bacterial small subunit ribosomal RNA
Source: RNAcentral
AUCGAACGCUGGCGGCAGGCUUAACACAUGCAAGUCGAGCGGAGAGAGGUAGCUUGCUACUGAUCUUAGCGGCGGACGGGUGAGUAAUGCUUAGGAAUCUGCCUAUUAGUGGGGGACAACAUUUCGAAAGGAAUGCUAAUACCGCAUACGUCCUACGGGAGAAAGCAGGGGAUCUUCGGACCUAGCGCUAAUAGAUGAGCCUAAGUCGGAUUAGCUAGUUGGUGGGAUAAAGGCCUACCAAGGCGACGAUCUGUAGCGGGUCUGAGAGGAUGAUCCGCCACACUGGGACUGAGACACGGCCCAGACUCCUACGGGAGGCAGCAGUGGGGAAUAUUGGACAAUGGGCGGAAGCCUGAUCCAGCCAUGCCGCGUGUGUGAAGAAGGCCUUAUGGUUGUAAAGCACUUUAAGCGAGGAGGAGGCUACUUUAGUUAAUACCUAGAGAUAGUGGACGUUACUCGCAGAAUAAGCACCGGCUAACUCUGUGCCAGCAGCCGCCGUAA